Molecule: non-coding RNA, 71 nt
Organism: Picea glauca (white spruce)
Lineage: Eukaryota; Viridiplantae; Streptophyta; Pinopsida; Pinales; Pinaceae
Source: Rfam
GCACUGGUGGUCUAGUGGUAGAACAAUACCCUGCUAUGGUACAUACCCGGGUUUGAUUCCCAACUGGUGCA